This 497-nucleotide ribosomal RNA is filed under the name uncultured bacterium. RNAcentral's name for it is "partial 16S ribosomal RNA". It matches the Rfam family "Bacterial small subunit ribosomal RNA", at positions 28 to 507 of the family's 1533-position model. The record is from RNAcentral.
GAUGAACGCUGGCGGCGUGCCUAAUACAUGCAAGUCGAGCGAACAGACGAGGAGCUUGCUCCUCUGACGUUAGCGGCGGACGGGUGAGUAACACGUGGGUAACCUACCUAUAAGACUGGGAUAACUUCGGGAAACCGGAGCUAAUACCGGAUAAUAUAUUGAACCGCAUGGUUCAAUAGUGAAAGACGGUUUUGCUGUCACUUAUAGAUGGAUCCGCGCCGCAUUAGCUAGUUGGUAAGGUAACGGCUUACCAAGGCAACGAUGCGUAGCCGACCUGAGAGGGUGAUCGGCCACACUGGAACUGAGACACGGUCCAGACUCCUACGGGAGGCAGCAGUAGGGAAUCUUCCGCAAUGGGCGAAAGCCUGACGGAGCAACGCCGCGUGAAUGAUGAAGGUCUUCGGAUCGUAAAACUCUGUUAUUAGGGAAGAACAAAUGUGUAAGUAACUAUGCACGUCUUGACGGUACCUAAUCAGAAAGCCACGGCUAACUACGUG